This 1027-nucleotide long non-coding RNA is filed under the name Podarcis muralis (Common wall lizard). Its description in RNAcentral is "lncRNA (ENSPMRG00000019067.1)". The record is from RNAcentral. Lineage: Eukaryota; Metazoa; Chordata; Lepidosauria; Squamata; Lacertidae.
AAUCUAGAGGCGGUGCAAAAUAUUACCUUGUGUGUGUUGAUUGUUUCACUAAUUAUUCUUGGGUUUAUUUGAUGGAGAAACCGCAAGAAACUUUAGAAAAGUUUCAGGAGUUUUGUGACAAGGUUAAAAAUAUGCAUGAUGCUAACAUUGAUUGUCUUUUCACAGAUGACAAGCAAGUUUUUCUGUUACAGAAGUUUCAGAAGUUCCUGGAUGGAAAAGGGAUAGACCACAAAGUUUCUGUUUCGCCCGAAGCGUGGAACAGAGGGGUCUGUGUGAAAGUGAACAAAGAAUUGCAAAAGGGGAUGCAUGCGCAAUUGCUAAGUUCACAUUUGCCACAUGAAUAUUGGGCCGAGUCACUAGCGUCCUAUCUUCACGUGUGGUUGAGAAAAGUCUCAACAGAGUUGGGAUGUUCUCCUUUUGAGAAGCUUUUCAAAAUAAAACCUUCUGUUGCCUAUUUUAAGGUUUUCGGAUCUCAUGUGAGAACAGAAGCUCCAGGUGGAGUAAAGAAUGCCAGAGGCAUUUUUGUGGGAUAUGAAAAGGGUCUCUAUAGAGUAAUUUUGUCUGAAUCUGGUCAGGUGAUUCUCACAAAGUUCCUAGAGAGUGCUCCAGAAAAAUGCCUCUGGCAUUCUUUACCCCACCUGGAGCUUCUGUUCUCACUUGAGACCCGAAAACCUUAAAAUAGGCAACAGAAGGUUUUCUAUUGAACAGCUUCUCAAAAGGAGAACUUCCCAGCUGUUUUGAGACGUUUCUCAACCACACGUGAACAUAGGACAUUAACGACUCCGCCCAAUAUUCAUGUGGCAAAUGUGAACUAAGCAAUUGCGCAUUCAUUCCCUUUUGCAAUUCUUUGUUCACCCUUACACAGACACCUCUGUUCCAUGCUUCCGCUGAAACAGCAACCUUGUGUCUUAUCCCUUUCUUCUGCAGGAACUCCUGAAAAUCCUGUAAAAGAAAAACUGGCUUGUCAUCUGUGAAAAGACAAUCAAUGUUAGCAUCAUGCAUGCUUUUAACCUUGUCACAUAACUCC